GGGCUUAACUGUCUCCCCCCUCCAGUCAGUGAAAUUGAUCUAUCCGUGCAGAAGCGGGUAUAACUCUACAAGACGAGAAGACCCUUUGGAGCUUAAGGUACAAAAUUCAGCCACGUCAAGCAACUCUACAGAAAGCAAGAACUUAGUGGUCAUGAGAUUUUACCUUCGGUUGGGGCGACCGCGGAGGAAAAGCAAGCCUCCGAGUGGACCGGGCCAAAACCCCUAAAGCUAAAAGAAACAUCUUAAGGCCGCAGAACAUCUGACCAACAAUGAUCCGGCUAAGAGGCCGAUCAACGGACCAAGUUACCCUAGGGAUAACAGCGCAAUCCUCUCCCAGAGCCCAUAUCGACGAGGGGGUUUACGACCUCGAUGUUGGAUCAGGACAUCCUGGUGGUGCAGCCGCUAUUAAGGGUUCGUUUGUUCAACGAUUAAAGUCCUACGUGAUCUGAGUUCAGACCGGAGCAUUCCAGGUCAGUUUCUAUCUGUAACGCUACUUUUCCUAGUACGAAAGGAUCGGAAAAAGGGGGCCCAUACCUAGCGCAUGCCCCGCCCCUUAUUUAUGAAAACAAAUAAAUUAAAUAAGGGAGGGCCAAAACCCCUGCCGCC
Molecule: ribosomal RNA, 606 nt
Filed under: Alburnops simus pecosensis (Pecos bluntnose shiner)
Lineage: Eukaryota; Metazoa; Chordata; Actinopteri; Cypriniformes; Leuciscidae
Description: Notropis simus pecosensis (Pecos bluntnose shiner) partial 16S ribosomal RNA
Rfam family: Bacterial large subunit ribosomal RNA
Source: RNAcentral